This 71-nucleotide transfer RNA is filed under the name Paramuricea clavata. RNAcentral describes it as "tRNA-Ser". The record is from RNAcentral. Lineage: Eukaryota; Metazoa; Cnidaria; Anthozoa; Malacalcyonacea; Plexauridae.
CUAGCUCUGCCUCAGUUGGUUAGAGCUCUGCAACGGAAUCGCAGGACCGCCGGUUCGAUUCCUGCGAGAGG